GUGCUGUAAAUUUUGUGUUUUCUAACCGUAGAGAUUAUGUGAUAUGCGACCCAACUGACCUAUAGUGUGCAUGUUCGUUUUCCUCUUUUUUGCCAUUUUUUCUUGUGUUUAUUCUUUGCUUAGAAUUGAAUGUGUUUUGACACGUGUUGCAUUUUCUCAGUUCCUACGUAGUACCAAGAGCACGGUGCAUAUCGAAAGCAAACUGAUCAUUUGUCCAGGAUGUUAUUUUGUGAUUUAUUUUCAUCAUUUCGUACAAAGUUAAAGAUGCGUCACGUAGUGUGUAU
RNAcentral lists this long non-coding RNA (284 nucleotides) under Brachypodium distachyon (stiff brome). Its description in RNAcentral is "long non-coding RNA (BDIS_LNC004700)". The record is from RNAcentral. Lineage: Eukaryota; Viridiplantae; Streptophyta; Magnoliopsida; Poales; Poaceae.